UUAAAUUGAAGAGUUUGAUCAUGGCUCAGAUUGAACGCUGGCGGCAGGCCUAACACAUGCAAGUCGAACGGUAACAGGAAUCAGCUUGCUGAUUUGCUGACGAGUGGCGGACGGGUGAGUAAUGUCUGGGAAACUGCCUGAUGGAGGGGGAUAACUACUGGAAACGGUAGCUAAUACCGCAUAACGUCGCAAGACCAAAGAGGGGGACCUUCGGGCCUCUUGCCAUCGGAUGUGCCCAGAUGGGAUUAGCUAGUAGGUGGGGUAAAGGCUCACCUAGGCGACGAUCCCUAGCUGGUCUGAGAGGAUGACCAGCCACACUGGAACUGAGACACGGUCCAGACUCCUACGGGAGGCAGCAGUGGGGAAUAUUGCACAAUGGGCGCAAGCCUGAUGCAGCCAUGCCGCGUGUAUGAAGAAGGCCUUCGGGUUGUAAAGUACUUUCAGCGGGGAGGAAGGGAGUAAAGUUAAUACCUUUGCUCAUUGACGUUACCCGCAGAAGAAGCACCGGCUAACUCCGUGCCAGCAGCCGCGGUAAUACGGAGGGUGCAAGCGUUAAUCGGAAUUACUGGGCGUAAAGCGCACGCAGGCGGUUUGUUAAGUCAGAUGUGAAAUCCCCGGGCUCAACCUGGGAACUGCAUCUGAUACUGGCAAGCUUGAGUCUCGUAGAGGGGGGUAGAAUUCCAGGUGUAGCGGUGAAAUGCGUAGAGAUCUGGAGGAAUACCGGUGGCGAAGGCGGCCCCCUGGACGAAGACUGACGCUCAGGUGCGAAAGCGUGGGGAGCAAACAGGAUUAGAUACCCUGGUAGUCCACGCCGUAAACGAUGUCGACUUGGAGGUUGUGCCCUUGAGGCGUGGCUUCCGGAGCUAACGCGUUAAGUCGACCGCCUGGGGAGUACGGCCGCAAGGUUAAAACUCAAAUGAAUUGACGGGGGCCCGCACAAGCGGUGGAGCAUGUGGUUUAAUUCGAUGCAACGCGAAGAACCUUACCUGGUCUUGACAUCCACGGAAGUUUUCAGAGAUGAGAAUGUGCCUUCGGGAACCGUGAGACAGGUGCUGCAUGGCUGUCGUCAGCUCGUGUUGUGAAAUGUUGGGUUAAGUCCCGCAACGAGCGCAACCCUUAUCCUUUGUUGCCAGCGGUCCGGCCGGGAACUCAAAGGAGACUGCCAGUGAUAAACUGGAGGAAGGUGGGGAUGACGUCAAGUCAUCAUGGCCCUUACGACCAGGGCUACACACGUGCUACAAUGGCGCAUACAAAGAGAAGCGAUCUCGCGAGAGCAAGCGGACCUCAUAAAGUGCGUCGUAGUCCGGAUUGGAGUCUGCAACUCGACUCCAUGAAGUCGGAAUCGCUAGUAAUCGUGGAUCAGAAUGCCACGGUGAAUACGUUCCCGGGCCUUGUACACACCGCCCGUCACACCAUGGGAGUGGGUUGCAAAAGAAGUAGGUAGCUUAACCUUCGGGAGGGCGCUUACCACUUUGUGAUUCAUGACUGGGGUGAAGUCGUAACAAGGUAACCGUAGGGGAACCUGCGGUUGGAUCACCUCCUUACCUUAAAGAAGC
This 1556-nucleotide ribosomal RNA is filed under the name Escherichia coli Nissle 1917. Its description in RNAcentral is "bacterial SSU rRNA". It matches the Rfam family "Bacterial small subunit ribosomal RNA". The record is from RNAcentral. Lineage: Bacteria; Pseudomonadati; Pseudomonadota; Gammaproteobacteria; Enterobacterales; Enterobacteriaceae.